RNAcentral lists this long non-coding RNA (1178 nucleotides) under Callithrix jacchus (white-tufted-ear marmoset). RNAcentral describes it as "lncRNA (ENSCJAG00000074297.1)". Lineage: Eukaryota; Metazoa; Chordata; Mammalia; Primates; Cebidae. The record is from RNAcentral.
CACGGAUCUUCAAAAAGAAAGGAAAAUCAAGAGGUUGAGAAUACAAGAUAAAGACUUAAAAAUCUGAUAAAGGAAUGUUAUUCAGUGUAUACAAAGAACUCUUAAAACCCAGUGAUAAUGAGCAAAAGAUCUGGACAGCUAACCAAAGAAAAUAUCCAGAAGGUUUGUCUGCUGCUCACUGAUGCCCAAAUGGGCCCCUGCAGAGCGAUCUAUGGGCUGCAUCACCAGUUUCCACUUGUCUUUUGGCUUCCAGUUGUGUUUACACUCAUCCAAGAUUGAGAAUCUAGUAGAAAGUCAGAUGUAGUGUUUAUUUUUCUGAAUCCUUCUAUGCCGGGCACAGUCACAGACCUGUGGUUGACUAUUUUUUCAUGGCCAUGUAUCCUGCUGAGCUCUGGCAACAAUGUCCCCCAUUUACCCCUUCAGGGGGAAGUAACUGUUCCUUGCUCUUGCUAGUCUCAGUGUACUUUAUCAUUUAUUAUUAUUUCUCUUAUCCUUGUGCAAACAUUUGUAAAUAUUCUCUUCAUUAAACUAUCUUCUUGUAAACCUUUUGAAUGUACAGUCUAUUUUCUGCCAAGUCCAUGUUUGUUAAAUUGAGCAAACAAGUUUUGUCUUUAUAAACCACUAGAAUAAUUCAGUAGGAGAACAGGACAAUUGCCAUUUCAGCAUUUCGUCUUGCCUAUCUAUUGGCAGUUAGACUUAUUUAUUAAACAUUAGAAAAAACUCCUCUCAUUUUUGGCAAAUACUUGGCAUAAUUUACUGUUAAAAAUUCACAUAUAAAUAUGUGCAAUGUAAUUAAAAGGCAUUGCUCAGUCAUAAAAUAUUGCAGACAUGGUCCCUAGAGAGGCCUGAAGCUGGGUUGUCAAAAAUGUUCUAUCUGGAAAAGAUGCAUCAUUCCAUCUUGCAGAAAAUUAUUAGAAUGGCUCUGUGGUAAUUUUGUGCUAGUUAUACGUAAUUGAUGAUGAGACAGGCACAUAGCUGGUUUUCAGAAUAGGUAAAUGCUCUUGCUAGUCUACGUAGCUUUUUUGUGUCAUUUUAAAAAUAAAAAUAAAAAACAAUACUUCUGCUUUGGGCAAUAUUAUUUAUAUGAGCACAAGAUUUAGGGAGCAGGAAACACAUUUCUAUGAAGAAAACCAAUAUCCUUUGGUUUGGGUAGACCCGCUCUCACAAGAAGUUCUAAG